UUGUCUAGAAGCCCACAUAUCUUCAAGGAUCCCUGAAUUUCACCCACACCCCAAGUUUUGGGGGGUUUUUUGCGGGGAGGACUUGCUAGGUUGAAGAGCCAUCUUCCGUGGAGCCCCGCCCCAGCAUGCCCCGCGUUCGUUCGACUUCGCGGUUCAUGGGGACAGUAGAUGAGGAGAGACAAAGAGCGGAGCAUCCCCCGGCUCCCUCCCAGACCUGGCCAAGACGGUGGCUGGAGAGGCCCAGAUGCUAGCAGAGCAAAGACGCUAGGAGAGGCGGGGCUUGGCCCUGCCCCUUUAGGGCGUCACCUAGCCCCUCCCAACUGGGCUCCCGCUGCGGUCGGGCGGCGGAGCCUGGACCGAGCUGGGAGGCCGCAGCUGCUGUCGAGUUCCACCGCCCCGAACACUAUAGCACCUUAAGUACCCGGGACGGCGGCCGGCCUGCAGGUGGCCCGGCGUACCGUGGGGACAAUGACGAUACUCCAGGGAACUCCAUGCCCUGGCCAGUGUGCAGAGUCCAAGUUCUGGAAGACCAACAUCUGCAGGUGAAUAGUUGGUGAUGUCCUCCAGGCCUAGGGACACCCUUGGAGAACCGGUGGAAAGGCCACAUCUGCAGUGCAGAUGGCAGAAGAUCACAGAGACUCAGAUGCCCUUCCUGCAGGACAAGCCCAGCCUUGAAGAUUUCCCUGCCUAUGGCUGGCUCUUCUUCAACAAGGCAGACAGGGCCCUCCCCAGACUGGAGGGUGCCCAAGGCCCCUUGGUGGUGCCUACCAUGGACUGCUCUGCAGCUGCCCCCUUGACCUCUUAGCUGACCCAGAAGUGGGGAGCCAGCCCUCACCAUGUGGAACAGACCACCCUGAGGGAGCUGAGGCUGAAGGCCACCCACUCUGCCCAGCUGCUGAGCAGAAGGAGCCAGCCCACCUUGAUGGCACCCUCCCUGCCCACCCCUAUCCAGCCCAACAAUGACACAGACCUCCCAGACUCCAGUCAGAAGAAAUAGCCUCUGCAGCCAGUCAGUACUGGCUGGGAGGCCUGAGUGCUGGGGGAGGCCCUGCCAUCCUGGCCACAGCCACUGCCCCCCACCCCCACCACAAGAGACAUACAGUGCCCUGGAGCUAGGCAUGUCCAGUUCUAGGCAGGCCUUCCCUGGCACCUAGGAGAGGCAGAGAAGAGGCCUGGCUGCCUGCCCACUCACCUGUGCAGCUCCAGAGCCCAUCUGAGCAGCUGCAGCUGCAGUGACUCCAUGGUCCAGCUUGUGCUGACCUAGAGCCCCUCCUUGGCCCCUUCCUGAGACUCCAUCUGCUCACUUGCCUUCCAGCCAGGCUCAAGCCGAGAGGGGCUCACCAUGGCCGGGCUCCAGAUGCAGAGGGACAACUGCCUCCCUGCCUCUGUGUGAGAGCCUGGAGCACAGGAAAGGGUGCCCCCUGAAGCCAGCUAAGGGCCCCUCCCCCUUUGGUGUGGGGCUCCCAAGGGUUCCAGGCUCAGGCCUUCAGAGGGUCAGGUGGAGGUGUCUCCUGUGGCAGGGACACAGGUGCCCCUGCCAUCUCCCCUUCACUCCCUGUGUCCAGAGACUGAAGGGGACCUGGCCACCAGAGGUGCCCAGGGACUCCUUUGUGCAAGAUGCCUUCCUUCCUCUGCCCAAAGGAAGAGGGCUCUGGGUGACACCUGGAGGUGGGAGGGGGGCAGAGGCAGCAGCUGGUUAAGGCCUAGAAGUGAACCUCGGGCCAUUGACCUUCUGUUGGCCAGUUGAGAUUGUGUGGUUUGCUGCCUGGGGUCCAACAGGCAGGAGUGGAAUGGGAGGGAUGCCAGGACACUGCCCCCUGGACAGGACAGAAAGAGGAAAGGAUGGGCAAUGGGAAGGGGCUGGGGGGGCAGAGCUGUUGGCAGUGACAUGACCUGAGAUGUGCCCACAGGAGCUGAGAGGCCAGCCACCUCCUGGUCUCUUCCUUCCCUUCCUUUACACCCUGACUGUGUGUCAUCAGCCUCUGGCCCAUGGAGUCCUGGGCCUCUUGGCCAAGUCAGGCUUUGGGGGAAGCUUCAGGUGGGCUGCUUGCUUCUGCCAUAGGUGGCUCAUCCCGGAUACAGAGGCAGAGGUAGCAUGGAUGGCAGCAGAACCCUCCCUGUCUGCUGUCCCCCAUUGGUACUGCCUGACCCCCCCCCAACCAGGGCUGCAGGGGGCACCCAUGGUUGUGAUCUAGGUUAGGACACGUGGGCCUUCAUGCCUUUCCAAGGCUGAGAGUCUGCUUCUGGCUUCCUGCUGGUGUGGCCUGGAGUCUGCAGGGGUGGACAGGCCUUGGCUGCCUGCCUGCCUGCACAGGUCCCCAGGGGAGCUUUGAGGAGCUGCUUCUGGCCACUGGCUGCCCUGACUGAGGCACUGACUGUAUAUAGGCUGUAUAUAGGAGCACCUUCUCUCUGAAGAUCUGGUUUGUUCAGACAGAUCUCCAUGUGUGGUCGACUGCAGGGAUUAUUUCCCCUUCCCCCCACCCCAAACCCUAGGACAUUCCCCAAUGACUGGCAUGUAGUGACUGCUUUAGAAACACUUGUCUCUUUUAGAGGCAGCUGGCUGCCCCAGUGGCUAGAAUGCCAGGCUCCAGCUGUUGCCUCAGACAUGCAGGAGCUGUGUGAGCCUGACAAGCCUCAGCCUUUCUCACCUCUGCUUGCUCCUCUGUCAGAUGGGCAGAAGGCCAGCACCUCCCUCACAGGGUUGUUGUGAGGAGCCUGUCACAUGCCUCUGUAAAUUGCUUUGCAUGCCUUAGACAGCUGUGUACAUGCUAGCUACCCUGAUUGUCUUUAGUGUUGCUUGACAGAAAUCCCCUCAGUUCUCUCCUGAGCCAGAGGAGCUCAGUAGACGCAGAUACCUCAAAAGGGUUUUCUUCCUUUCCCUCUGUGAAUCGUGUAGACUGGUUCCAGCUGGGUCCCCAGAGGUGGGAGAUAGAAGGGGCAGUGGCCCCCUCUCCUACCUGGCCUCCCCUGGCCAUGGCAUCAUGGCCCCCCCCCCCACGUGUUAUCAUAUCUGCCCUUUCCUGGACUUCUUCCACCCAGAACCCCCUGGUGCAUUUGUCAAGGCCUGGCAGUGAGUGGGACAGCUGCUGCCCUGGCCCUCAGCUACAAGGACUGAGGUCAGGACCAGGUUCUGUGAUGACCACAUGGGGAGUGCUGUCCAUGGCCCCAUGAUGGAGUGUGGCUCCACACCUGGGGUUUUGGUCUUGUUGGUGUUCCCUCUGCCUCCUGCCUGAGACAGGAUGCUAUCACUUUUUCCUCUUUCAUAGCUCAGGUUCCCUUUGUUUUUUAUCCUUUUUAUCUCCUCCUCUUAACAUUUAAUUUAAGAAGCCUUUAUUAAGUGCCUUUUCUGUGGCAGUGCUAAUAACAUAGUAACAGCCUUCCCUUUUUCCAAGGAGCUGGGAGAUAAGGUUUUUUUAACUUUUCAUUUACUCCUUAUGCAGAACAUGUAGGUAUGGUUCAUAGGCUUAAUGGGACUGUUUAGGGAACAUGGACUUUGAUUUUACAAAUGCGGAUGUUGAGUCUUCAAACAGGAAAUGUCUUUUUCAAGUUGAAGUGGCUCAAUAAGUCUUUUAGAGGUGAUAUUAUAACCCAUAUCCUCGGACACUGAAUGCAGCAAUUUUUUUUUUUUACUGGAGUAUAAUAUGUCUUCUUCCCUGAGCUCUCAACCUCUACUUCUAACAAAUUAGUUUUUCCACCACUAGAAAUGAGAGAGUCUUCAAUGUGAAUCUGACAAAAACCUUGGUAGUGAGUCACUGGACAUCCUGCUUCAUCCCUUCUCUACUGGAAGGUUCCCCUGCAACAUCAACUGACAAAUAGGGGUGGCAGCCCAAUCCCUUAAAGUGUCUCUGCCCCCCAGCAAAAUGAGUUGUAGAGGUCUGUCAGUUUGGUCUGUCUUCAGAGUACAAAAGAAUCCUUUUGAGGAGAGGACCACCACUGUCUCCUAAAUGCUUUCACUUUUCCUGCCUUCCCUCAUUUUUACCCUGUAAUGCCCAUCACCUGGACAAAGUAGGCCAAAGUGAGCUCCCCUUUGAAAUUUUUUCUUUAUAGAAAUUCUUGAAUAAGAGAUCGCUCUCAGUUCCACUUUGAAGAUUGUAUGAUGCUUGCUUCAGACAUCUUCCAGUGGAACACAAAGACCAUGGGCAGAUAUGCAUACCACCUUGGUCAGAUUUGAGAAGCCUGCUUCUAGACAAGGGAGACUCCAAGGAGCUUGCACGGUAAACAACUCCUUUCCCACAAACGUGUAUUUCUGGGUGUGUGCUGACAAGUAUUUCACUUACAAGGAGAGUUUAACUAUUUCUUUGUGUCCCCAGCAUGUAACACUUCCUUUGAAAAAGGGAAGGCUUCAUAACUGCUUUUUGAUAAAAGAUACCUCUACUUGUCUGCUGAGCAAAAUGGGCUCUGUAGACUCAGAUGGAAAUUAAUGUGCUAUGUUCCUUCUCCACUGUGAAUCCUGUAGUGUGGUUCCAGCUGGGUCCCCAGUGUUGGGUGGGAAGGAGGUGUUGUCCUUUCUCCCACCCAGCCUCCAUGCAGUCAUGAUUAUGUGGCUGCCCUUGUAUUUUGUGUAUGUGUAUGUGUAUUUUCUUGAACUUAGGUCAAUGAGUAUACCCUGGUGCAUGUAUCCAGGAUGUAGGGCAAGCUUGUGCAUUUCCAAGGGUCUAGAGGUUACCUGAGGCCUGUGGAUGGAGCACGUGUCUCUUCCACAAAACAACAGCAUUGGCUGGCCAGGAAAGCUUCAUUCAGUAGACAGUGUGGUCUCUGGCAACAGGUCUCAGUGGAGCUCAGCUCUUGGACCAAGCGUGGUUGGACAGGGCCCAGCCAAGGUGAAGGAGAAAUGCCUGUUGGGAUUGUUUUCCCCUGGGAAGAGCCUUCCCCUUGGCCUCCUGCUGUCUUGUGACUCCCAUGAUCCUGUCAGUCCCGGGAGUGGGUGCGGUGACUCGUGUUGUCGACACCUCUUGUCCCCCUUGUUCACAAUAAAGGAUUCGUUCCUCA
Molecule: long non-coding RNA, 4989 nt
Organism: Dromiciops gliroides (monito del monte)
Lineage: Eukaryota; Metazoa; Chordata; Mammalia; Microbiotheria; Microbiotheriidae
Exons: 2
Source: RefSeq, a predicted model, not a curated record